AGAAUCAACGCUGGCGGCGUGCCUAACACAUGCAAGUCGCACGAGAAAGGGACUUCGGUCCUGAGUACAGUGGCGCACGGGUGAGUAACACGUGAAUAAUCUACCUCCGAGUGGGGAAUAACUGAGAGAAAUCUUAGCUAAUACCGCAUAACACUUACGAGUCAAAGCAGCAAUGCGCUUGGAGAGGAGUUCGCGGCAGAUUAGUUAGUUGGCGGGGUAAUGGCCACCAAGACGAUGAUCUGUAUCCGGCCUGAGAGGGCGCACGGACACACUGGAACUGAAACACGGUCCAGACUCCUACGGAGGCAGCAGUGGGGAAUUUUGCGCAAUGGGGGAAACCCUGACGCAGCAACGCCGCGUGGAGGAUGAAAUAUCUUGGUAUGUAAACUCCUUUCGAUGGGGAAGAUAAUGACGGUACCCAUAGAAGAAGCCCCGGCUAACUUCGUGCCAGCAGCCGCGGUAA
Molecule: ribosomal RNA, 463 nt
Filed under: uncultured bacterium
Lineage: Bacteria
Description: SSU rRNA
Rfam family: Bacterial small subunit ribosomal RNA
Source: RNAcentral